Molecule: non-coding RNA, 881 nt
Organism: Mus caroli (Ryukyu mouse)
Lineage: Eukaryota; Metazoa; Chordata; Mammalia; Rodentia; Muridae
Source: RefSeq, a predicted model, not a curated record
GGAGGUGGAGGAGGAGGAGGAGAUGGCGGCGACGGCGCGGGAAGAUGGCAUCCGCAACCUGGCGCAGGGGCCGCGGGGCUGCGAGCACUAUGACAGAGCCUGUCUUCUCAAGGCACCUUGUUGUGACAAGCUUUAUACUUGCCGGCUGUGUCACGAUACCAAUGAAGAUCAUCAGCUAGAUUGCUUCAAAGUCAGGGAAGUGCAGUGCAUCAACUGUGAAAAACUCCAACAUGCCCAGCAGACUUGUGAAGACUGUAGCACAUUGUUUGGAGAAUAUUACUGCAAUAUUUGCCACCUGUUUGACAAAGACAAGAAGCAGUAUCACUGUGAGAACUGUGGGAUUUGUAGGAUUGGUCCAAAGGAAGAUUUUUUCCAUUGCUUGAAAUGUAAUUUAUGCCUAGCCAUGAAUCUUCGAGGAAAACACAAGUGUAUUGAAAAUGUUUCCCGGCAGAAUUGUCCAAUAUGCUUGGAGGACAUUCACACCUCCCGUGUUGUUGCUCACGUCUUGCCGUGUGGGCAUCUCCUACAUAGAACGUGUUAUGAAGAAAUGUUGAAAGAAGGUUACAGAUGCCCAUUGUGUAUGCAUUCUGCCUUAGACAUGACUCAGUACUGGAGACAACUAGAUAAUGAGGUAGCACAGACUCCCAUGCCAUCGGAAUACCAGAAUGUGACUGUUGAUAUUCUCUGCAAUGACUGUAAUGGACGAUCCACAGUCCAGUUCCAUAUCUUAGGCAUGAAAUGUAAGUUUUGUGACUCCUACAAUACUGCCCAAGCUGGAGGCCGCAGAGUGUCAGUGGAUCAGCAGUGAGAAGCCUGUCCUUGGCUAGAGAACAGCUCUGUGAUGGAGAUGAAGCUCUGUAAAAGAUCCCAAUGUUCCGAUC